RNAcentral lists this long non-coding RNA (272 nucleotides) under Callithrix jacchus (white-tufted-ear marmoset). RNAcentral's name for it is "lncRNA (ENSCJAG00000085718.1)". Lineage: Eukaryota; Metazoa; Chordata; Mammalia; Primates; Cebidae. The record is from RNAcentral.
AUGGAGAUCCCACUUUAUCCACCCCCACAACUCGAGCCUGUUGGAACAAAGGUGCUUUGUCGCCCUAUCUUAACUAUUUCAUCACUUCUGAAGGUAAAACUGUGGGUUUUGCCACCUGUCAUGAGCAGAAUAAAAGUUCCACCAGGUACUGCCGUAACCAAAUGGAUUCUGGAUGACUGAAAGCUCAACCAAGAGGGCUCCUGUACCAUACAAUCUUUUUGUCUAGAUCUGUGUUUUGAGUUAGAAACCUUAUUAAAUCUGUGGCACAGUCU